RNAcentral lists this ribosomal RNA (254 nucleotides) under uncultured bacterium. RNAcentral describes it as "partial 16S ribosomal RNA". It matches the Rfam family "Bacterial small subunit ribosomal RNA", at positions 524 to 776 of the family's 1533-position model. The record is from RNAcentral.
UACGUAGGCAGCAAGCGUUGUUCGGAGUUACUGGGCGUAAAGGGUGCGUAGGCGGUUGUUUAAGUUUGGUGUGAAAUCUCCCGGCUCAACUGGGAGGGUGCGCCGAAUACUGAAUGACUUCGAGUGCGGGAGAGGAGAGUGGAAUUCCUGGUGUAGCGGUGAAAUGCGUAGAUAUCAGGAGGAACACCGGUGGUGUAGACGGCUCUCUGGACCGUAACUGACGCUGAGACACGAAAGCGUGGGUAGCAAACAGG